CUCUUCGGCAGUUAUCCGUCGUGCGGAAAGACGAAAACGCGCGAGACUCUUCUUGCACAUCUUUCCGAAUAAGAGCUUCGUGUUGGGUUUAGGCUUUGCACCACAUGAGGUGCACUCGUUUCUGGGUGUGUGGCGCGCUGAGCCACGUGCCUGAGGCAACAGGUGUGGUCAAGGACUACCAGAAGAUUGAUUCGCAGAGGAAGGAACUGGCGGCGCGCGAGGCAAAGAAGGAGUACGAGAGCUACCCGCUGCGCUACCAGCUCCUGGAGUGCCGGCCGGGAAUGCCUCUCGCUCUGACGAAGCUGAAGUAUUUGCUGGCGUGUCGCCGCACACACCCCGACGCAGGUGGGGAUACCGAGUCUUUUCUGAGGGUGAGCCUGGCAUACCAGGACGUGAUGAAGGACUACGGCGUGGAGACGGUCGACAAUAAGAUCGUCAACUUGGGGAACUUCCAGUCCGAUGAUCAUGAGGCGCAAAACUACCUGGAGGCACGGGCCAGCAUUAGCUCGUACAUCCCCAUCUCGACACUCGAGGAUCACAUUAGACAAAUCGAGGAGAUUCAGAGACGACUUGGAGACGAACUUUCGGAGAAGCUGACGUCAAAUAGCGAUGAGGCGAUGUGGCUACUGGAGGAUAUUGAGGACUUCAUGGAGCAAACAGGCCUCAAAACAGUCAAGCUUCGUGUGCUUGAGAACGGCAAGGUGCGAGUGAGCGAUGCGCAGGUGCUCACGGAUGGCACUGAGAGACCGCUGUUCCUUGAAGACGGAGAAGCGCCGCCGGAGCGGCGCAUUCCUGCUAGCACCACCGGCGCGGAGACAGCAUGCGUAAAUAGUGCCUCAAAGAAUGCGUUUUCCGCGGACGCACCGUCGAACGCGGCAAAGGAGGCGCCUCAGUCAAGCGAGGAGACGCUGCACGAAGCAGAGGUCUCCAGAUCGGACAUUGAUAUUUUGAAUGAAAAGAACACCCUGCAGGACAGACAAGAUGUGGCAGGGGUGGCCGCGCGGACAGCCACAGAGGUCAUGAACAACACGGAGGAAGUGAAGCAGAUGAAGCUGGAGGCAUCUGUGCUAUAUGUGUUUUUCGUUUCGCUGAUGACGCUUGUUUACGUGUACAUUGAGGGGGCGAUGCGGGCAAAACGUCAGGCAAGCUCACGCCCGGAGACUAUGGAACACGUCACGAGCGACACGAUGCUUCCGUGGUGGGGUAACGACGCCGAGUAUGAGAGCCAGGUCAAGCGCAUUUUCGUGGACGAGUGGAGAAAGGCACGUGCGUCGUCGCGCAGGGCGCAGACGUUUCAGGAUGGCGUUGCUCGCGAGUCCCUGGACGAGGAGACUAAGCGCGAGAUGGAUUUGAAAAUCUUCACCGUCACUGCAGAAAAGCUGCGCGCCAUGCGUGACAAUGCAGAGAAGCACCACGUCCGCUAGGACGCACACCGCAUUCUCGAUUUCCUUUGCCAUUUGCGGAUUCUCUACCUAAGCGGUGCGUGCUUCUCCCUGUGGGGAGUUCUCGCAGUGAGUUACCCUUGCAGGCUCAGGGGACGAGUGUGCCUGUUGCGCGCGGCCCUGGUGGCGAUGCGAACCUUGUGCUUGUGUGCACAUAGGGCGGCACCGCAAUCUCAUUACUGUAGUUUGUGUUUUCGCACUGCUCACACAAUGCCUUUUGGCCGUUUUUCCAGCCCGGUGAUGCUGCUACGCUCAGCUGUCUCUCCUGUUGGCCGUCUGAAUGGCACCCCUGCCGAACCCGCAGACAUCUUCUGAG
This 1758-nucleotide unclassified non-coding RNA is filed under the name Leishmania donovani. Its description in RNAcentral is "gene:LdHU3.24.0090(CDS-product:hypothetical_prote in_conserved)". Lineage: Eukaryota; Euglenozoa; Kinetoplastea; Trypanosomatida; Trypanosomatidae. The record is from RNAcentral.